UCCUUAGGGUUUUGGUUUUAGGGU
RNAcentral lists this non-coding RNA (24 nucleotides) under Arabidopsis thaliana (thale cress). The record is from RNAcentral. Lineage: Eukaryota; Viridiplantae; Streptophyta; Magnoliopsida; Brassicales; Brassicaceae.